This 76-nucleotide transfer RNA is filed under the name Ktedonosporobacter rubrisoli. RNAcentral describes it as "tRNA-Arg". It matches the Rfam family "tRNA". From Rfam's summary of the family: Transfer RNA (tRNA) molecules are approximately 80 nucleotides in length. Their secondary structure includes four short double-helical elements and three loops (D, anti-codon, and T loops). Lineage: Bacteria; Bacillati; Chloroflexota; Ktedonobacteria; Ktedonobacterales; Ktedonosporobacteraceae. The record is from RNAcentral.
GCGCCCGUAGCUCAGUGGAUAGAGCAUCGGUCUUCGGAAUCGAGUGUCGGGGGUUCGAAUCCCUCCGGGCGCGCCU